Molecule: ribosomal RNA, 497 nt
Filed under: uncultured bacterium
Lineage: Bacteria
Description: partial 16S ribosomal RNA
Rfam family: Bacterial small subunit ribosomal RNA
Source: RNAcentral
GAUGAACGCUGGCGGCGUGCCUAAUACAUGCAAGUCGAGCGAACAGACGAGGAGCUUGCUCCUCUGACGUUAGCGGCGGACGGGUGAGUAACACGUGGAUAACCUACCUAUAAGACUGGGAUAACUUCGGGAAACCGGAGCUAAUACCGGAUAAUAUAUUGAACCGCAUGGUUCAAUAGUGAAAGACGGUUUUGCUGUCACUUAUAGCUGGAUCCGCGCCGCAUUAGCUAGUUGGUAAGGUAACGGCUUACCAAGGCAACGAUGCGUAGCCGACCUGAGAGAGGGAUCGGCCACACGGGAACUGAGACACGGUCCAGACUCCUACGGGAGGCAGCAGUAGGGAAUCUUCCGCAAUGGGCGAAAGCAUGACGGAGCAACGCCGCGUGAGUGAUGAAGGUCUUCGGAUCGUAAAACUCUGUUAUUAGGGAAGAACAAAUGUGUAAGUAACUAUGCACGUCUUGACGGUACCUAAUCAGAAAGCCACGGCUAACUACGUG